AUGAUUGGAGCUCAGAACGUCUCUUCCUGCUGGCUCUGCCCACCAGGCUGGUUCUGCAACAACACGGCUCUCACUCAGCCCUCAGGCGUCUGCUCUGCAGGAUUUUAUUGCACCGCUGGAGCUAAAACCUCUAUGCCUGAAGAUGGAGUUACAGGAAACAGAUGCCCCCCAGGAUAUUUCUGCCCAUCAGGCUGCACUUCACCUAAACACUGCCCUGAUGGUACUUACUCCAACACUACAGGUGCGGCAGAGUGCAGCGACUGUCCUCCCGGAUGGCUCUGUCUGGAAGGCGAGGAGGCCCAGCUGUGUCCAGAGGGCCAUUACUGCCUAGGGGGCACUGUGGAGGACAUCCUCCCCUGCCCCCCAGGCACAUACAGUCCCAAAGCAGGGCAGAGCCAAGUAGAGCAGUGUUCACUGUGUUCAGCUGGCAUGUACUGUGAGGACUGGGGACUAGUGGAACCAACUGGUCCCUGCCAGUCAGGGUAUUUUUGUCUAGCAGGCAUAAAUUUCAGGAACCCUGAUGGGAAUUUCAGCACUGGGGUUGGGGGAGCGUGUCCUUUAGGGCAUUACUGUCCUGAGGGCACCAGUCUACCUCUACCCUGCCCACUCGGGACCUUUUCCAACAGCCUGUAUGUCACAGAUCGCUCAGGCUGCAGUUCGUGUCCUGCGGGCCAGUUCUGUGGCUCUGUGGGCCUCAGCAGGCCAUCUGGACACUGUUAUGAGGGAUUCUACUGCCCGAGCGGAGCUACCUCCUCCACUGGCUCAGGCACAGAGGGUGGACUCUGUCCUCAAGCACAUCACUGCCCAGCAGGCAGCGCACUGCCACUUCCCUGCCCAGCAGGCACCUACGCCAACCUUACUGGCCAGGUUAUGUGUAGCAUUUGUCAUGCUGGAUACUACUGCCCAGAAAUCACCAGCAACUAUACUCGCUAUCCAUGCCCGCCUGGCUUCUACUGUCCUGAUGGCACAAAGCAUGCUACGCAGUUCCCAUGCCCAAGAGGCUACUAUAACCCUGAGCCCAUGACCCAGAGCCUGGACAGCUGCCUACCCUGCCCUCCAGGCCACUACUGUGAGAAGGAAAGACUGACAGCUGUGUCAGGGAAAUGCAAAGCUGGCUGGUUUUGUGUCUCAGCUGCCUGGAACCCUCAGCCGUUUGACCUGGAUAAUUAUACCAAUGCUAACUGUCUGUGUCCUGCCACUUCUACCGGGGGGAGAUGCCAGGCAGGGUACUACUGUCCAUCAGGCAGCUCAGAGCCCAUACCCUGCCCUCCUGGAGCCUUCUGCAAUUCCACUGGCCUGGCCUUGCCAAGUGGUCCCUGUGCCUCUGGUUAUUAUUGCACUGGAGAAGCUACAGAAUCUAAACCGACAGAUGGCAUCACUGGCAGCAUCUGCCCUCAAGGCUCUUACUGUGUUGAGGGCUCCAGAGAGCCAGAGCCGUGCCCAGUGGGCACAUUCUCCCUGGCAUCAGGCUUAAAGAGCCAGGCUCAGUGUCAGCCGUGCAGAGCCGGGCACUACUGCAACUCUCGAGGCCUAAGAGCUCCCACUGCUCGCUGCAGUCCGGGUUACUGGUGCCCCCCCGGUCAGACUGAUGACCUAGCUCUUCCUUGUCAGGUCGGUCAUCACUGUCCCCCAGGAAGUCCUGCCCCAGUUCUCUGCCCCUCUGGGACGUACCAGGACAAACAGAAGCAGGCCAACUGCACAAUCUGUGAAGAGGGUUUUUACUGUGAUGAGAGGUUUGGAGUCUCUAAUGCAUCUGUCCUGCAGUCCUGUCCAAAGGGUCAUUACUGCCCUAAAGGAACAAGUUAUGCCACUCAGUUCCCAUGCCCCGCUGGUACCUACAACCCAUUAGAAGGCAUGGAUAGCCUAACUGGCUGUCUUCAAUGCCCAUCAGGACACUUCUGCCCAACAGUAGGCCUUAUAGAGCCUGCAGGAUUGUGCUUCCCUGGAUACUGGUGUCGAGAAGGCUCCCACUCAGCCAGUCCAUCUACUGGAUCCUCUGGUUCAAUUUGUCCAAUUGGACACUACUGCCCCAAAGGUAUUACUGCAUGCGUUUUGCAUCAGAAUUACAUCUCAAACCAUGAGAAGAAAGAUGUAUAGGA
Molecule: long non-coding RNA, 2099 nt
Filed under: Astyanax mexicanus (Mexican tetra)
Lineage: Eukaryota; Metazoa; Chordata; Actinopteri; Characiformes; Acestrorhamphidae
Description: lncRNA (ENSAMXG00005007571.1)
Source: RNAcentral